Molecule: transfer RNA, 60 nt
Filed under: Acinetobacter baumannii
Lineage: Bacteria; Pseudomonadati; Pseudomonadota; Gammaproteobacteria; Moraxellales; Moraxellaceae
Also listed under: 5 other names
Description: tRNA-Asn
Rfam family: tRNA
About the family: Transfer RNA (tRNA) molecules are approximately 80 nucleotides in length. Their secondary structure includes four short double-helical elements and three loops (D, anti-codon, and T loops).
Source: RNAcentral
AUAGCUCAGUCGGUAGAGCGACGGACUGUUAAUCCGCAGGUCCCUGGUUCGAGCCCAGGU